Molecule: non-coding RNA, 110 nt
Organism: Tinamus guttatus (white-throated tinamou)
Lineage: Eukaryota; Metazoa; Chordata; Aves; Tinamiformes; Tinamidae
Source: RefSeq, a predicted model, not a curated record
GGGAGGAUCACCUCCCUCCACCUGCUGGCAGUACUCUUCCAAAUGCACCCCAGGAUCCCAUUGGCCUUCUUGGCCACAAGGGCCCAUUGCUGUCUCAUGGUUAAGCUGUU